AGUGAACGCUGGCGGUAGGCCUAACACAUGCAAGUCGAACGGCAGCACAGUAAGAGCUUGCUCUUACGGGUGGCGAGUGGCGGACGGGUGAGGAAUACAUCGGAAUCUACUUUUUCGUGGGGGAUAACGUAGGGAAACUUACGCUAAUACCGCAUACGACCUACGGGUUAAAGCAGGGGAUCUUCGGACCUUGCGCGAUUGAAUGAGCCGAUGUCGGAUUAGCUAGUUGGCGGGGUAAAGGCCCACCAAGGCGACGAACCGUAGCUGGUCUGAGAGGAUGAUCAGCCACACUGGAACUGAGACACGGUCCAGACUCCUACGGGAGGCAGCAGUGGGGAAUAUUGGACAAUGGGCGCAAGCCUGAUCCAGCCAUACCGCGUGGGUGAAGAAGGCCUUCGGGCUGUAAAGCCCUUUUGUUGGGAAAGAAAAGCAGCAGGUUAAUACCCCGCUGUUCUGACGGUACCCAAAGAAUAAGCACCGGCUAACUUCGUG
Molecule: ribosomal RNA, 492 nt
Filed under: uncultured bacterium
Lineage: Bacteria
Description: partial 16S ribosomal RNA
Rfam family: Bacterial small subunit ribosomal RNA
Source: RNAcentral